Molecule: non-coding RNA, 1036 nt
Organism: Camellia sinensis
Lineage: Eukaryota; Viridiplantae; Streptophyta; Magnoliopsida; Ericales; Theaceae
Source: RefSeq, a predicted model, not a curated record
UGUUGUUUUCCACCCUCAUGCUCACCACGUGCCUAAAAAGAUGUUCAAACGAAAUUUGUCUAUGCUUGUAUUUGUUUUUGUCUUCUAACCCUUUUGCCCACCAUGUGUUUGACGAAAUGUUCAAAUAAAACUAGGCAAUGCUCACGUGUUUGACAUCUGUUUAUAAGCUUUGGUAGUGCCCAGAUUGAAUUUAAUUGUUUUUUUUAAUUACAUGUUCAUGAGUUGUUUUGAGGUGCAAUUUUAGAUGAUAAAACAAAACCCAUUCGCGUUGUCCAUUAUGUAUUUAUUUCUGAUUGUCUAGGUUCAUAGGUUAAAAAAAUAAGAGAGGAGUAAUGAAUAAAUAUCAAUGACAUUUGUGAUAUUUUGGGUUUUCCAGAAAUUUUGAUAGUAAAAGAGGCAAGAGUCAUAUCAUGUUUGGGGUGCAAAGCAACAGGGGAUUGUGUAUAGAUCUUUGAAAGAUAUAUUGGGUGAAGGAGAUAAAGAAAAUGUAGGAGUUGGGACAUUUGUUCAAGUCAUUGUCUUGGAGAUAUACAAGGAAGAGAUAUAUGAUCUGUUGUCAACUAAUAAUGGUAAAGGACUAAGUAUUGGGUGGUCUAAGGGAAGUGCUUCCAAGAUGUAUGUUCCCAAUGUUCCCAAAGCAACUGAGACUGAGCCUAAGGCAUCAGAGCAGCUUCAACAAAAGCAAUCUCAGCAGCCUAUGCAACAACAACCUAUGCAGCAGCAGCAGCAACAACAAUCUAUACAACAAUAGCAACCUAUGCAACAGCAACAACAGCAGCCUACUUUGAUACAGCUGCAAUCUAUUCAAACAGAGAAAGUCAAGGCAUCCAAGGCUGCUCACCUCAUGUAUACGACUAUCAUGUAUAAUAAGUCAUAGAAUUGUAAAGAUAGAAAACACCAAAAUGGUUAAAUAGUUGGUUAGAGAAAUUGUUAGAGAGUUGGUUACAACCAACUCAGUUAUACAAAGUGUAUAUAUAUAGCAGCAUGUACUCUACUUACCUUUUCAAUGAAGUUUAUCUCUGUGGGGGCUAAAUAA